AAGCCAUAAUAUAUCAAUUCUUCUCAAGUCUUGUGCUAUUUCGUAUUAUCAGCCGAAAGAUUAGGGAUCAGAAAAGCCAGUGAGAUGCAUUUUAAAAUCGAGAAAAUAUACAGAUUAUUUUUCAACAAAAUGUUGAACAUUAGCACUGCGCAAAAUGGAAACAGUUUUACCUAAGAAGUUAUCUAAACUGAGCUUCAGAAUUUUAUGCAGCAGAUAUGACUAAAUCUUCGCUGUUUUAUUAAGUUAUUUUGAAGUGUUAAAAUCUCAGGUAUACUACAGAUUAUUUUCAAUUAAAGCAUGAAGAACGAAUUAAGUUUUAGUUUUGGUGAAGGGGAUGUGCAUUUCAGUAUUCUGCAUACUAACAUUUCGCUGACAGCAUGGUCAAUAUUCUGAGACAUUUUAAAAUACUAAGAAUUCCUUCUUCAUUUGAUCCACAUCCAAUUAGUACCUGAUUAAUAAGUAUGGAACUGUACUCGUUUGAAAUCGGAUCUGCCAUUUUGUAUAAUCUUGUACUUUAAAAGAUGCGAUUUUCGUUCAUUAAUAUUAUGACAUUUGGGUACUUACGUAUUAUCGAACCACCUUCGUAGAAGUCGCAAAUUCUGCCAGCCAUCCGCAUAACAGUUCUUUAGGUAACUAUAUCCAUUGUAAGUUGCAAUCCGAAAAUUCACUGAAUCACCUUUUUCUUCUGUGAUUGAGUUAAUACAAGGUUGAUCAAUAGCAGACGGGAUAAAGCAAAGGAUACAAUGUACAGCUGAACACAGCUAGUACAUUGUAGCUCGCCUACUGUGGCUCAAGUCCUUGCAGUAGAAAAAACUGGCUACGUGUGUGUUUCGGGGUUUUUUCUCAUGUGUAACUGCCUUCGUAGUGUAACUGGAUCGCAAGUCCGAUUAGCAGUCAGGAGGUCAGGUGUUCAUAUCCCGACUACGUCACUACAAAGGUUUCAUGUCUCCUGCACCUACAAACCUAAUGACACUGCAAGUGGAGGCUCCGGAACUAAAAGGUGGUGGAUUCACCACCACCAGGAUUUGGCGAUUAGGUCCCCUCAUACCCAGUUGCCCUUUAAUGGGGGAAUUAUAUAAAAUUCUCUCCCUCGUUUUCUAGUGCCUUCGUGGUGUAACUAGAUAGCACAUCCGGUUAGCACUCGGGACGUCUGGUAUUCGAAUCUUGGCUAAGGCACUAAAGAUGUUUCAUGUUCCUGCAUCGAUAUUGCAUAAUGACUUAACAAAUAAAAGGGAGCAAAUAGAAAGUGAAUGCAUAUUAAAUACAUAAAUAAAAUGCAUAGGUAAUAAGUGAAUAAAUAUAAGGUCCCCCUACAAAAGCAUCGGAUUUAAUAUGCCCAAGAAUAUUUUAUCUGUAGAAAAUGACAAAAUGCAUUCUUACAACGGGUAAAUGGUCCGAUUUGAAAUGUCGAGUUUUUACACUGAUGUUUUAUCAUUGCAAAAUCAUUUCGCACUUCAGUCGACAUAGAUCGCCACAUAAGAGAACAACCAGUUUUUAUUGCUAAAAAUUCAAUACAAUAAUGGCGAGUGUUAUGCACAAACUGUUAAGAAGCUCAGUGUAAUCUUUGGACAUAAAAAUGCACUUAAUGGAACAGCAUUUCGCACACUGAUAAAGAAAUUUCAGGAGACAGGUUCGACAGCAGACUUUCAGUUACCACCUCUUGAUCUAGCCAUCUCUUGAAAACAUCGCUAUUGUGCUUCGUAGUGUUACUGAAAUUCUCAAAACUCUGAACUUAAAGAGAAGCAAACAAAAGAACUUGAAGAGGAAAUUGAAAAGUGUUAUUAACCGCAUCGAUAAGUAGAUAUAUGAAAAGUGAUUACGCAAUUGAUCGGGAUAUUGAGCUGCUGCAGAGCGAAUCGUGGAGGACAUAUGCCAGGCGUUGUGUUUCAUUCUUAAGCAAGAACAUUUACUAGUUGUAGUAAGUAUGUAAACAUAUUUUCGAUUUUCUAAAAAUAAAAUAUUUUCAUAGGUAUACUAAAUGUUGUUAGGUCACUCUUUGUGUGUUAGGACUUACCAGAUAAAUGUGAAAAAUGAGAGAGCACGUUUAUGUUUUAAGUGUUUUCUUAUUUCAAAUUAUCUAAGGGGGAAAGUUUUCUUUUGAGUCGAAAAUAAAAUAUCUCAUUUGUGUUUUCA
This is a long non-coding RNA of Stegodyphus dumicola, 2133 nucleotides long. The record is from RefSeq and is a predicted model, not a curated record. Lineage: Eukaryota; Metazoa; Arthropoda; Arachnida; Araneae; Eresidae.